UGAAAAAAGUUAGAAAACAUU
This 21-nucleotide non-coding RNA is filed under the name Caenorhabditis elegans. Lineage: Eukaryota; Metazoa; Nematoda; Chromadorea; Rhabditida; Rhabditidae. The record is from RNAcentral.